UGGCUCGUAGUCGCUGGGUUGCCGCAGGCCUCCCGGGUAACCUACCACCCUUUGUUUAUUACACUUUGUUGCUUUGGCAGGCCUGCCCUCGGGCUGCUGGCUCCGGCCGGCGAGCGCUUGCCAGAGGACCUAAACUCUGUUUGUCUAUACUGUCUGAGUACUAUAUAAUAGUUAAAACUUUCAACAACGGAUCUCUUGGUUCUGGCAUCGAUGAAGAACGCAGCGAAAUGCGAUAAGUAAUGUGAAUUGCAGAAUUCAGUGAAUCAUCGAAUCUUUGAACGCACAUUGCGCCCCCUGGUAUUCCGGGGGGCAUGCCUGUCCGAGCGUCAUUACAACCCUCAAGCUCAGCUUGGUAUUGGGCCCCGCCGACCCGGCGGGCCCUAAAGUCAGUGGCGGUGCCGUCCGGCUCCGAGCGUAGUAAUUCUUCUCGCUCUGGAGGUCCGGUCGUGUGCUCGCCAGCAACCCCCAAUUUUUUUCAGGUUGACCUCGGAUCAGGUAGGGAUACCCGCUGAACUUAAGCAUAUCAAUAAGCGGAGGAA
RNAcentral lists this ribosomal RNA (539 nucleotides) under uncultured Pseudogymnoascus. RNAcentral describes it as "eukaryotic LSU rRNA". The stretch from base 176 to 329 matches the Rfam family "5.8S ribosomal RNA". The record is from RNAcentral. Lineage: Eukaryota; Fungi; Ascomycota; Leotiomycetes; Myxotrichaceae.